RNAcentral lists this ribosomal RNA (480 nucleotides) under uncultured fungus. RNAcentral describes it as "eukaryotic LSU rRNA". The stretch from base 119 to 272 matches the Rfam family "5.8S ribosomal RNA". Lineage: Eukaryota; Fungi. The record is from RNAcentral.
CCGCGAACUUUUAAACCUUUGAUGAUUGACCCACGUUGCCUCGGCGGGCUCGCCCGCCAGAGGAUACAUCAAAACUCCUGUUUUAACGGUGUUGUCUGAGCUACAAGCAACGAAUUAAAACUUUCAACAACGGAUCUCUUGGUUCUGGCAUCGAUGAAGAACGCAGCGAAAUGCGAUAAGUAGUGUGAAUUGCAGAAUUCAGUGAAUCAUCGAAUCUUUGAACGCACAUUGCGCCCCUUGGUAUCCCGAGGGGCAUGCCUGUUCGAGCGUCAUUUCACCAUUCAAGCCUGGCUUGGUGUUGGGCGACGUCCCCUUUAGGGACGCGCUUUGAAACGCUCGGCGGCGUGGCACCGGCUUUAAGCGUAGCAGAAUCUUUCGCUUUGAAAGUCGGGGCCCCGUCUGCCGGAAGACCUACUCAAGGUUGACCUCGGAUCAGGUAGGGAUACCCGCUGAACUUAAGCAUAUCAAUAAGCGGAGGAA